Non-coding RNA from Lolium perenne, 1914 nucleotides. The record is from RefSeq and is a predicted model, not a curated record. Lineage: Eukaryota; Viridiplantae; Streptophyta; Magnoliopsida; Poales; Poaceae.
CUGUGGCCCUCUUCGCCGUUUCUCCUCAUCACCCUCUCUGCACCAGCAUCUUGCCUCCCAAACAAACCAAAGAUAAGUUCAUUGCGUCCCCUCCAGCCAUGAAAAUACCAUGGUUAGCUAACAGAGGGUUUGAUACUCGAUGACCAUUUAGUUAUCAUGGAUAAAUUUGGUUCUCAUUGCCCGACUUAUAUCUCUUUUUGUUGGUCUGGUUCUUGAAUUCACGGUGAAAUCAGAACAAUGUGUAGGGGGUGGGGUGCUAAGGGAAGUAGCACAGAUCGGAAUCAAACCACAGGAAUGGUACUGAACUGAGCAGGUUGAGUGGUUUUCUUGGUAUUCUUUCUGGGAAGAAACACAAAUACAGCUCCAUCCUGGUAAAUAAAUGAAGUCAUGAGCGUUCCAACCAAUCUGAUGUGGCUUGAAAUUUAAGAACCUUUGCAUUGAAGGGAAGCUGUUCCAAGUGCUUAAUAGUGUUACUUGAGAAUAGAAAACAAGGGAUUAUCUGUAGUGUUGCAAGUUGGAAAAUGGCAAACUGUACUGAAGUAGUUUCUGCACUGUAUAUUUCUUGGCUUCCCACAGUUCCUUCCCACUGAAUAUGGGUAGCCAAUUUCCCUAUUUCCUAGAGUUAAGUUUGGAGCAUGUUAUGUUAUGUGAAGUUUGUCUAUAUAUGUGCAGGUUAAAUACUCUCAAAUUGCUUUUAAACUUCUACCCAAGUAUCUAUAUGUUUAUUUUAUUUGCUGCAAUACGUUAGAGCUCACUGAAAAUAUCUGUUCUCACCUACAGCAAUGCAUUUCAGCCAAAUUUGGAAUUUUUAUUAUUGGGUGUUCUCAUCCGCAUAUAUUGAAGUACCGAGAAACAAGAAGCAGGUCGUUGGCUUUUAUUGACUUUCAUCUGCAUAUACUGAAGUAAGGGGAAACAAGAAGAAGUGAAAGUUUGGGUACUUAUUUUUCCAUGAAGUUUUCUUUCAGAGCAUCGAGAGCGGAUGGAUAAGAAGGUGUUCAGUACAUGGGAUUGGAGAAAUAAGAAGAGAUGUAAUAUUCCUACAGCUGAUGUCCGUUGCAUCGGAGAGAGAGAGGACAACAAAAAAUCGUUGGGUGUUUGCCCAGGAUGAUUUUUUUUCAUUGCAUUGGAGGGAUAGGACAACAAUAGUAAGAGAGCAAGACUUGCUGGAUGUUUGCCUAGGUUGGGUAGACUAGCAUCCUAAAGGUAUGGAGGUACCUCGCAGCUUUGUUGAUGACGGGAUGCAAGGUAUGAUCAAGAAUAUGCCAGGCGAUAAAUUUAUUUAGCUUUGGAGCCACAUCCUCUUAUAUGAAGUAAGUGCAGAUUACAUAUAAGUUUUGGACAUGGAGCCACAUCCAUUGCCAAUAAGAUCAUUUUUUGCAUGGAGUUAGAAAAGAACUUUCAGCUCAAGUCCUGAUUUUUGUAGGAGAGCUAUUUACGAAGCUAGAAGGAAAAUAUACUCCUCAGUAUAGGUGGCUUGAAACCGAAUUCCCCGAGGUAAACAGGAGCGAAACACCAUGGUUGAUCGUUCUGAUGCAUGCUCCAUGGUACAACAGCUACAACUACCACUACAUGGAAGGUGAAAGCAUGAGGGUGAUGUACGAGCCAUGGUUCGUGAAGUACAAAGAUGAUAUUGUGCUUGCAGGCAUAGGAUAUCAAAUGUCGCAUACAACAUUGUAAAUGGUUUGUGCUCCCCUGUCCCACACCAGUCUUCGCCGGUUUACAUAACCAUCGGGGAUUGAGGAAACCAGGAAGGGUUGGCCACCAACAUGUCGGAGCUGCAGCCAAGCUACUCGGCGUAAAGGGAGGCGAGCUUCGGGCAUGCCUACUACACGCAAGAUCAUUGAUGCAGGGCUGACCAUGGACGCGGACACGCGGUGCUUGCGCGGACAGAUGAACGCACGGCCAGGGUGGCUG